Molecule: ribosomal RNA, 253 nt
Filed under: uncultured bacterium
Lineage: Bacteria
Description: partial 16S ribosomal RNA
Rfam family: Bacterial small subunit ribosomal RNA
Source: RNAcentral
UACAGAGGUCUCAAGCGUUGUUCGGAUUCAUUGGGCGUAAAGGGUGCGUAGGUGGCGCGGUAAGUCGGGUGUGAAAUUUCGGAGCUUAACUCCGAAAUUGCAUUCGAUACUGCCGUGCUUGAGGACUGGAGAGGAGACUGGAAUUUACGGUGUAGCAGUGAAAUGCGUAGAGAUCGUAAGGAAGACCAGUGGCGAAGGCGGGUCUCUGGACAGUCCCUGACACUGAGGCACGAAGGCCAGGGGAGCAAACGGG